UACGAAGGGGGCUAGCGUUGCUCGGAAUUACUGGGCGUAAAGCGCGCGUAGGCGGGUCGUUAAGUCGGGGGUGAAAUCCUGGAGCUCAACUCCAGAACUGCCUUCGAUACUGGCGAUCUUGAGUCCGGGAGAGGUGAGUGGAACUCCGAGUGUAGAGGUGAAAUUCGUAGAUAUUCGGAAGAACACCAGUGGCGAAGGCGGCUCACUGGCCCGGUACUGACGCUGAGGAGCGAAAGCGUGGGGAGCGAACAGG
RNAcentral lists this ribosomal RNA (253 nucleotides) under uncultured bacterium. RNAcentral's name for it is "partial 16S ribosomal RNA". It matches the Rfam family "Bacterial small subunit ribosomal RNA", at positions 524 to 776 of the family's 1533-position model. The record is from RNAcentral.